GAUGAACGCUGGCGGCGUGCUUAACACAUGCAAGUCGAACGGGAAUUACUUUAUUGAAACUUCGGUCGAUUUAAUUUAAUUCUAGUGGCGGACGGGUGAGUAACGCGUGGGUAACCUGCCUUAUACAGGGGGAUAACAGUCAGAAAUGGCUGCUAAUACCGCAUAAGCGCACAGAGCUGCAUGGCUCAGUGUGAAAAACUCCGGUGGUAUAAGAUGGACCCGCGUUGGAUUAGCUAGUUGGUGGGGUAACGGCCCACCAAGGCGACGAUCCAUAGCCGGCCUGAGAGGGUGAACGGCCACAUUGGGACUGAGACACGGCCCAGACUCCUACGGGAGGCAGCAGUGGGGAAUAUUGCACAAUGGGGGAAACCCUGAUGCAGCGACGCCGCGUGAAGGAAGAAGUAUCUCGGUAUGUAAACUUCUAUCAGCAGGGAAGAUAGUGACGGUACCUGACUAAGAAGCCCCGGCUAACUACGUGCCAGUAGCCGCGGUAAUACGUAGGGGGCAAGCGUUAUCCGGAUUUACUGGGUGUAAAGGGAGCGCAGGCGGGAAGACAAGUUGGAAGUGAAAUCCAUGGGCUCAACCCAUGAACUGCUUUCAAAACUGUUUUUCUUGAGUAGUGCAGAGGUAGGCGGAAUUCCCGGUGUAGCGGUGGAAUGCGUAGAUAUCGGGAGGAACACCAGUGGCGAAGGCGGCCUACUGGGCACCAACUGACGCUGAGGCUCGAAAGUGUGGGUAGCAAACAGGAUUAGAUACCCUGGUAGUCCACACCGUAAACGAUGAUUACUAGGUGUUGGAGGAUUGACCCCUUCAGUGCCGCAGUUAACACAAUAAGUAAUCCACCUGGGGAGUACGACCGCAAGGUUGAAACUCAAAGGAAUUGACGGGGGCCCGCACAAGCAGUGGAGUAUGUGGUUUAAUUUGACGCAACGCGAAGAACCUUACCAAGUCUUGACAUCCCUUGACGAUGCUGGAAACAGUAUUUCUCUUCUGAGCAAGGAGACAGGUGGUGCAUGGUUGUCGUCAGCUCGUGUCGUGAGAUGUUGGGUUAAGUCCCGCAACGAGCGCAACCCUUAUGGUCAGUUAUUACGCAAGAGGACUCUGGCCAGACUGCCGUUGACAAAACGGAGGAAGGUGGGGAGGACGUCAAAUCAUCAUGCCCUCUAUGACUUGGGCUACACACGUACUACAAUGGCGUUAAACAAAGAGAAGCAAGACCGCGAGGUGGAGCAAAACUCAGAAACAACGUCCCAGUUCGGACUGCAGGCUGCAACUCGCCUGCACGAAGUCGGAAUUGCUAGUAAUCGUGGAUCAGCAUGCCACGGUGAAUAAAAUCCCGGGCCUUGCACA
Molecule: ribosomal RNA, 1350 nt
Filed under: uncultured bacterium
Lineage: Bacteria
Description: bacterial SSU rRNA
Rfam family: Bacterial small subunit ribosomal RNA
Source: RNAcentral